UACGUAGGUGGCAAGCGUUGUCCGGAUUUACUGGGUGUAAAGGGCGUGUAGGCGGGACAGCAGGUCAGAUGUGAAAUGCCCGGGCUCAACCCGGGAGCUGCAUUUGAAACCUCUGUUCUUGAGUGUCGGAGAGGAAAGCGGAAUUCCUAGUGUAGCGGUGAAAUGCGUAGAUAUUAGGAGGAACACCAGUGGCGAAGGCGGCUUUCUGGACGAUAACUGACGCUGAGACGCGAAAGCGUGGGGAGCAAACAGG
This 253-nucleotide ribosomal RNA is filed under the name uncultured bacterium. Its description in RNAcentral is "partial 16S ribosomal RNA". It matches the Rfam family "Bacterial small subunit ribosomal RNA", at positions 524 to 776 of the family's 1533-position model. The record is from RNAcentral.